AACGAACGCUGGCGGCGUGCUUAACACAUGCAAGUCGAGCGAGAACGGGUCCCUCGGGGCCUUAGUACAGCGGCGCACGGGUGAGUAACACGUAGGUGAUCUACCUCUCGCUGGGGAAUAACUCCGGGAAACCGAAGCUAAUUCCGCAUGCGUCUUCGGGGCUGCGGCCCUGAAGAGAAAGGUGGCCUCUUCAUGAAAGCUAUCGGCGAGAGAUGAGCCUGCGUCCCAUCAGCUAGUUGGUAGGGUAACGGCCUACCAAGGCUACGACGGGUAGCUGAUCUGAGAGGAUGAUCAGCCACACUGGAACUGAGACACGGUCCAGACUCCUACGGGAGGCAGCAGUGGGGAAUAUUGCGCAAUGGGCGAAAGCUUGACGCAGCAACGCCGCGUGAGUGAUGAAGGCCUUCGGGUCGUAAAGCUCUGUCAGGAGGAGCGAACACCCGGCAGGAACAAUACCCUGUCGGUUUGACGGUACCUCCAGAGGAAGCACCGGCUAACUCCGUGCCAGCAGCCGCGGUAAUACGGAGGGUGCUAGCGUUGUUCGGAAUUACUGGGCGUAAAGCGCGUGUAGGCGGAUCCAGAAGUCGGGUGUGAAAGCCCUGGGCUCAACCCAGGAAGUGCGCCCGAAACCAUGGGUCUUGAGGUCCGGAGGGGAUCGGGGAAUUCCCAGUGUAGAGGUGAAAUUCGUAGAUAUUGGGAGGAACACCGGUGGCGAAGGCGCCGAUCUGGACGGAUUCUGACGCUGAGACGCGAAAGCGUGGGUAGCAAACA
Molecule: ribosomal RNA, 771 nt
Filed under: uncultured delta proteobacterium
Lineage: Bacteria; Deltaproteobacteria
Description: bacterial SSU rRNA
Rfam family: Bacterial small subunit ribosomal RNA
Source: RNAcentral